GAACGCUGGCGGCGUGCCUAAUACAUGCAAGUAGAACGCUGAAGAGAGGAGCUUGCUCUUCUUGGAUGAGUUGCGAACGGGUGAGUAACGCGUAGGUAACCUGCCUUGUAGCGGGGGAUAACUAUUGGAAACGAUAGCUAAUACCGCAUAACAAUGGAUGACACAUGUCAUUUAUUUGAAAGGGGCAAUUGCUCCACUACAAGAUGGACCUGCGUUGUAUUAGCUAGUAGGUGAGGUAAUGGCUCACCUAGGCGACGAUACAUAGCCGACCUGAGAGGGUGAUCGGCCACACUGGGACUGAGACACGGCCCAGACUCCUACGGGAGGCAGCAGUAGGGAAUCUUCGGCAAUGGGGGCAACCCUGACCGAGCAACGCCGCGUGAGUGAAGAAGGUUUUCGGAUCGUAAAGCUCUGUUGUAAGUCAAGAACGGGUGUGAGAGUGGAAAGUUCACACUGUGACGGUAGCUUACCAGAAAGGGACGGCUAACUACGUGCCAGCAGCCGCGGUAAUACGUAGGUCCCGAGCGUUGUCCGGAUUUAUUGGGCGUAAAGCGAGCGCAGGCGGUUUGAUAAGUCUGAAGUUAAAGGCUGUGGCUCAACCAUAGUUCGCUUUGGAAACUGUCAAACUUGAGUGCAGAAGGGGAGAGUGGAAUUCCAUGUGUAGCGGUGAAAUGCGUAGAUAUAUGGAGGAACACCGGUGGCGAAAGCGGCUCUCUGGUCUGUAACUGACGCUGAGGCUCGAAAGCGUGGGGAGCGAACAGGAUUAGAUACCCUGGUAGUCCACGCCGUAAACGAUGAGUGCUAGGUGUUGGAUCCUUUCCGGGAUUCAGUGCCGCAGCUAACGCAUUAAGCACUCCGCCUGGGGAGUACGACCGCAAGGUUGAAACUCAAAGGAAUUGACGGGGGCCCGCACAAGCGGUGGAGCAUGUGGUUUAAUUCGAAGCAACGCGAAGAACCUUACCAGGUCUUGACAUCCCGAUGCUAUUUCUAGAGAUAGAAAGUUACUUCGGUACAUCGGUGACAGGUGGUGCAUGGUUGUCGUCAGCUCGUGUCGUGAGAUGUUGGGUUAAGUCCCGCAACGAGCGCAACCCCUAUUGUUAGUUGCCAUCAUUCAGUUGGGCACUCUAGCGAGACUGCCGGUAAUAAACCGGAGGAAGGUGGGGAUGACGUCAAAUCAUCAUGCCCCUUAUGACCUGGGCUACACACGUGCUACAAUGGUUGGUACAACGAGUUGCGAGUCGGUGACGGCGAGCUAAUCUCUUAAAGCCAAUCUCAGUUCGGAUUGUAGGCUGCAACUCGCCUACAUGAAGUCGGAAUCGCUAGUAAUCGCGGAUCAGCACGCCGCGGUGAAUACGUUCCCGGGCCUUGUACACACCGCCCGUCACACCACGAGAGUUUGUAACACCCGAAGUCGGUGAGGUAACCUUUUGGAGCCAGCCGCCUAAGGUGGGACAGAUGAUUGGGGUGAA
Molecule: ribosomal RNA, 1469 nt
Filed under: Streptococcus thermophilus
Lineage: Bacteria; Bacillati; Bacillota; Bacilli; Lactobacillales; Streptococcaceae
Description: bacterial SSU rRNA
Rfam family: Bacterial small subunit ribosomal RNA
Source: RNAcentral